UUUCCUAAUACCAUAAACAGUGGAUGUACAGAAUACAUUUCAAUUUCUCUCUCUCACCUUUUCUACCGUCGCACUCCGACGACGGCGCCACCGAAAAUUCACGCCUCCUCUUUUCUGAUAACUUUUGCUCAACUUCUUUAAAAAAAAUUGAAUUGAAAAAUUGGUUGCAUCAACCCAAAGGCUGAAUUUCUUUCUUUUUCUUAACUCACCCCGUACUCUGGCUACAACAACACCCGAUUGCAGAUCAUGGGCAGAAGCUUUAUAGGUAUUCGAUUGUUUGAUUCGCCAAGUUUCUCCAGUAGAAGGCGUGGAUGAAUUUGUACCUUCAUUUUGAAUAGGGGAAUACUUUCCAGAACACUUGGCCCUCAGAAUUGGAUUGUAUAAAUCUCAAUGAAAUGGAACCAUACACUUCUCCAAUGAGGAUUUAUGUACAGAACUGUAGCAAUGCAAAGCACAACACAUAUGUAAGAUACGAUGAAGCUUACAUAGAAGACCUCCAUGUCCAUGAAACCGCGCUCCUCACUUUCAUCAUUAGCAGAUGGCAGGACAGGUGAUGAUCUAGUGCUAGUACAGUUGAUUGGUAAUGGACGACCACAAAGAUAAGGAUUUCCCUGGUAGCUAUCUUCACCAAAGGUUCCAAACUGACCUUUCUCUGGUAUAGUACCUGUUAAAUUGUUAUGUGACACGUUGAAGACUUCUAAAGUGUUUAACUUAAUCAGACCAUUGGGGAUCUUCCCACCCAAGUUGUUAUAGGAGAGAUCUAAGCUCUCGAUCUGAUGUAGGCUUGAGAAUGUUGCUGGAAUUGUUCCAUUAAGAUUGUUGUGGGACAAGUUGAUUGCAUGGAUCUCACUUAACUUUCCAAGGCUGUCCGGAAUUUCACCAUGUAAUUUAUUGGAAGAGAGAUUAAUUCCAGACAUGUUAUUGAGGAUGUAACCUUUGUAAGGAUAAGAAUUUCCCUUUGUCUUAAAUGUCACUAUAAUUGGCACUCUGUCGAGUACAAUUAUUGUUAACUCAGAGUUCUCCUUGGUUUUCCCCAUUGAUAUGUUACCAAAGCACUGCGGGAUUUGACCCGAAAGGAAAUUAAAAGAAAGGUCUAUCAAACUUAGUUUGUUCAUCUCACAAAACUGGUGAGGGAUCAUGCCUUCAAAAUGGUUACCGCUGAGUAGAAAAAAUCUCAUGCUUGAUAGAGUGCCAAUCCAUUGAGGGAUACUUCCAGUGAACUUAUUCUCUCUGAGAUCCAAUAACUCCAACGAAGAGCUAUUAUAAAAUGCUUCUAUCAGCUCACCUUCUAAUUGGUUAUUGUUCAGAUAGACAUGACUUAUUGUUGAUGUAUUGAAGCAGGAUGGGACCGAACCACAUAACUUGUUAUGAGAUAAAUCUAAGA
This is a long non-coding RNA of Olea europaea var. sylvestris, 1384 nucleotides long. RefSeq lists it as uncharacterized. NCBI's taxonomy places the organism in Eukaryota, Viridiplantae, Streptophyta, Magnoliopsida, Lamiales, Oleaceae. The record is from RefSeq and is a predicted model, not a curated record. The transcript is spliced from 2 exons.